This 489-nucleotide ribosomal RNA is filed under the name Acidobacteria bacterium UCL-051. RNAcentral's name for it is "bacterial SSU rRNA". It matches the Rfam family "Bacterial small subunit ribosomal RNA", at positions 32 to 500 of the family's 1533-position model. Lineage: Bacteria; Pseudomonadati; Acidobacteriota. The record is from RNAcentral.
AACGCUGGCGGCGUGCCUAACACAUGCAAGUCGAACGCGAAAGGGGCUUCGGUCCUUAGUAGAGUGGCGAACGGGUGAGUAACGCGUGGGUGAUCUACCUUCGAGUGGGGGAUAACGUUCCGAAAGGGGCGCUAAUACCGCAUGACGUUCUGGGUUUAAAGACCUGGAAACCAAAGCCGGGGACCGCAAGGCCUGGCGCUUGAAGAGGAGCCCGCGUCCGAUUAGCUAGUUGGCGGGGUAAUGGCCCACCAAGGCGACGAUCGGUAGCCGGCCUGAGAGGGCGGACGGCCACACUGGAACUGAGACACGGUCCAGACUCCUACGGGAGGCAGCAGUGGGGAAUUGUUCACAAUGGGCGCAAGCCUGAUGACGCAACGCCGCGUGGGGGAUGAAGGUCUUCGGAUUGUAAACCCCUGUCGAAUGGGACGAAUAGCCCUCGAGUUAAUACUGCGCGGGAAUGACGGUACCGUUAAAGGAAGGCACGGCUAA